Onychostoma macrolepis is the source of this 1609-nucleotide long non-coding RNA. RefSeq lists it as uncharacterized. Lineage: Eukaryota; Metazoa; Chordata; Actinopteri; Cypriniformes; Cyprinidae. The transcript has 6 exons. The record is from RefSeq and is a predicted model, not a curated record.
UUAAGGUGUUUACAUGCCUGUAUAUUCCGAUUAAAAUCGGCGUACGCCACCUAUGUUAAUACGAUUAUGCUUGCUGCGAUUAUGAGCUUAAUCGUAUUAUUUAGAUCGAAGUAUUGCGUUUACAUGAGGUAAAGCAUAAUCGCAAUAUCGCCAAAAUCUCAUUAUAAUCGCAUUAAGAGGGUCCAUGUAAACGCACUCAAUUCUGACUUUAUAAAUUGCAAUUGCGCAUUUAAAGUGGUUGACAACAAUAACAUUUUCUUAUUAUGAGUGCUCAGCAUACCCGGUUAAAAAAGUCACCGCUCACCACUAAUAUGUGUUUUAUUUUAUGUGUUUAAUUUUUUUCAGUGUUAUUUCUACACCACGUUUACCAUUUCUAAAGCUAUUAUAUUAUAUUAUAUUAUAUUUACGUAAAUUCUGCGUGACUUCUACGUGCUUUAAUGGAUGCGAGCGCUGAACUGGAGCGGAGGAAGUCACCAUGGAAACGGGGCGGCAGCUCAACUGUCAAACAGCUAAACGCCGUCUCUCACUGUUGUUUUCACUAAUUUCAGAUUCUUCUACGCUGAUGGCUGUGCACUAGAGUUAGAGCGUAUCUCCUGUUGAAGAACAUCUUUAGACAUUAUGAGUCAUAUGACUAAGACUGAAAAUAAUCGAUAAACCAAAAGAGUUUAGCUUCAACCCCAGUUAAGCAGACCUGAGCAGCUGAUCAAGGAUCACCAGAAACUCUGCAGAACGUUGGUCCUCCAUGCCCAGGACUGGACACCAGUGUUAUUGACGUACCCAGAGCAGAAGAUGACGAUGAGGUCACCGUAGCCACCCAGAUCCAGUCCGUAUCCAGAUCAGAUGGUGGAUCAGCACAGAUGACCUCUACAGCCCUGAACGACAGCGGAGACCAGGACAACUAGAUGAGCCCCAGAGACUGAUCCCCAGUGAAGACCCUGUCUCCUAGACGGCCAUCGGGACAAGACCACAGGAACCAGAUGAGUCCUAGAUUUAAACUGCUGAUUUUGUCUGGCCAGAGGAGAAUGACACUAUUUCGACACACUAUUUCCCCAUCUAAAUAAUGUAAAUCUGAUGUAAAGCCACCCAGCUUUAUGCCAAGCUGAUGUAAAACUGCUUUGACACAAUUUGCAUUGUUAAAAAUGCUGUACAAAUAAUAGUGACUUGACUUGACUGUCAUGCUCAAUGACAUGAGCUCAGGUCAUUGAUUGGCCGAAUUUAGCACGUGACUAUCACGUAAAGGCUCUUGCUAUCAAGUUGUACUAUUAUUAUUGUUAUUUUAGCAGAUAAGUGAUCUAUAAGUGUUUUGUUUCAUACUAUUCAAGGAUUCAUAGAAUAAUGCUUGUUUUACCUCUUUUUUACAUCACAUAAAACAAUAAAAUAAUUAUUUCUAGCAUAUGGAAGCAAGUAUACAAGUAUUCACACAAACUGAACUUCUGUUCAAUAACAUUAAAACUUCCCGAGUCACAAUGAGAGACAGUUUCAAAAGAGCAUAUAUCACUUUAAUUUAUUUAAAUGCACUUUACAGUAAAUGUGUUCAAUAUUUUUAUAUAACUGUGAAUUUAUUGUUAAUUUAGUGCGGUUACUUUUUUAAAAGAAAGAAACAAGGAAA